Long non-coding RNA from Camellia sinensis, 594 nucleotides. RefSeq lists it as uncharacterized. NCBI's taxonomy places the organism in Eukaryota, Viridiplantae, Streptophyta, Magnoliopsida, Ericales, Theaceae. The record is from RefSeq and is a predicted model, not a curated record.
AUUGAAGAAAAGCCUGCUAACAGAGCUGUGAUGGUGCCUGGAGAUGUGGCUGUGGCAAAUAAAAGUUGCGACAACACAACAGCCAAGGAAAACCCAAGUAUGUGUUGGGGAGAUUACAGUGAUAGUGAAGCUGAGGUUGUUGAAGUUACUAGCUGAAUCAAGAGUUUAGACUCUCCUUAAGUAGAAGUGACAUGUUCAUAGCCCCAACAGCAUUUGACUGCAAGAGAGGCAAAAACAACACAUUGAAUUGCGAGAAGCAGUUAGCAAGUGGAAAGAAUUCUUCUUGCGAAAGCCUGAAGGGAUGUGAAAUGUUAACUAAGGGCCUUCAUUGAUAAUAGGCUGGUGUCUGGAAGAUAUCUAUCUACAUAGUAAGCAUGUCCUCUCCGCUUGAGUUUUGUUGGUUGUUAAGUGAAACGAACAGAACCUCCAGGUGCUAUGUACUUUUCCUUUUAUAUUUUUUGGAUUAUGGUUGUGCAUGGAACUUGAAAGUUCUUUUACUAGAAAAUUUCAAUUUUCUUGCUUGUAACCAAAUAUGUAUGGUAGAAGGAUCCUUGAUGAUGUAAUAAUACUCAUGGUUUUUUUUUUUUUUGGUUA